Clupea harengus (Atlantic herring) is the source of this 1316-nucleotide long non-coding RNA. The record is from Ensembl. NCBI's taxonomy places the organism in Eukaryota, Metazoa, Chordata, Actinopteri, Clupeiformes, Clupeidae.
GUUAAAUUCUGCACACUUGUGGAAACAGACAAAACAAACUGCAAAGUGCUUUGUUUUAGAAGUCUUUAUUUUGAAAACCUGUCAAUGAAAAUUAAGUAUCAAUCGUGGCUGGUGGUCAAAUUAUUUGACAUAAUUUUUGACACCUCAGGACCUGUCUUGUUGCAAAGCCGCUUUGCAAUAAUCCAUUUUGUGAACAGGUCUGUUAUUGUCACAAUAUACUUCCUUCCCUUUGCAGAAGUAGGAAGUGGUUCUAUCAAAUCAACUCAUAGAACAGUCCAUGGCUGGGACACUUCAAUUUACCGCAACAGUGGGUCCACUGUUUUAAUUUUCUCUCAGCACUGGUAUUAAGGACAUUCUGCGACCCAUUUCUGAGAGGCCACUAUCUUUUUCACUGUGCUCUGAUACUCAAAAUGUCCACCUGUUCCAAAAUUGUCAUGCCACUCGUAAGAAUCUAAUCCUUCUCCUCUGCAUUCAUAACCAGUACACAUGCACAAUCUCUACUCUUGUAAUAAAGCUGGCUGUUUUCAAACGUGUAGCUAUUGGCUGCUCUGCUAAAGGAGGCCCAAAUUUCCCACUGCUCAGGUCCACCGAUGUCAGGGUGGUGUGUGCCAUUCCUCAUGAAGUGGAGGAUUCAUACUUGUUCUGAUAGCACGCCAUGCUGCAGCAAUGUCAAGAAGUGUGAAAAUGUGCACAUUGACGUCUGGUCACGUGAGACUUCGUCGUCUACUCCAGCAGAACUAUGGGUUUCUAUUGGUGGGUUUGAGUUGGUGGUACACCACCGUUUUCUUAAGCGCGCUCCCAAUAAGCACUCGACUGGAGAGGAGAGAAUGUUACAUAUUGAGCUACAAAAAGGGUCCUCUGGUAUUCAUUUUGACUAGAGCAGCUACGCCCCUGAACCCCUUGAGCUUCGGUUUUCACCUUGACAAAUGAGGACGCGAUACAUCACAAACACAACACGUUCUAUGAUGUACCAUGUAGAUAUGAUAACCCUAGCAGAUAUGAUACCCACACUGAAUGUCCUCCUUCAAAAGAGUGAGGAAGGGAUCCUCUCUCUCUCUUCUCCUCUUUUUCCUUUUCCUCCUCCUCCUCUCUCCCUUUCCAUGACACUUGGGCAGCGCUUGGCCCUGGUUUGUCCUCUUGGAUUGAGGUAAUCAGACUGCUGCCGACUGCGUUAAUGCUUCGUCCAUGAGGGCAAACCAGUGCCAAGUCGCUGACGAGUCCAGACCAAACAGUCCAGACCAAACUUGGCUUGUUGUGAUGGCAAAAUAGAAUUACUAUUUCACUACUAUUGUAUUGUGCUACAUCUAGGCUUAUAC